AGAUUGAUCUCUGUUGCCGCUCAGGGAGGUCAGCUCCAGGCCCUCAGCCUUUCGGCCGGGAGCCAAACUGCCCUGCCUGCCAAGCCCCUCCUUCUCUGCACCUUAAACAGCCGCGAGGGGAGAGUCGGCUGGGAUUUUCUUCUUAAGAAGUCGCGCAGGUUUUUCGAGCUCCACUCUGCGCCAGGAGAGCCACGGCAGCAGGAACGGGCACUGCUGCCACCGGGCCGACGGAGCUGCAUCCUGUGGCCCUAUAACACUCUUCUCCAAAAGGACCUGCCAGAAACUGGGAGUGUUGACUGCUGCAAGGACCAAGGUGGGAAUUGCUGUGCUACCAUCUGGAAACAGUGGGAUAGUAACAUCUUUUUGAGGGAAGAAUUGGCUUCCUUUCUUGAAAGUGGUGAAGGUACAGCAUAUAGCUGCAUGGAAGAAACAGUAAUCGGAUGGCUACCUUCUACAUUUUGUAUUAGGAAACAAAGUCCAUUGUAAGAGUCCAUGUUGAUCUUGGAAAUAGAAGGAUUGAAAAAAGCUAAAUUUCCACAAAGAACAAGAACUUGACCAUCUCCUUUUUGAUCUGAAGACUAG
This 582-nucleotide small RNA is filed under the name Pan troglodytes (chimpanzee). RNAcentral describes it as "processed transcript". The record is from RNAcentral. Lineage: Eukaryota; Metazoa; Chordata; Mammalia; Primates; Hominidae.